UACAAUAAUCAAGAACUGAUACAUCCAAUCCUAAAUUAAAAAUCAAGAACAUGAUACUGCAAAUAUUUUUAGUUUUACAAAAUCACAAACCUGAUGAAUAAAAGAGAGAUAUCAUACUUUUGAUUAAUCAAUAAGUAAUUACACACAUAAAACUAACAAAAUCACAAUACACUUCCUAAAGAACCUGAUGAAUAAAAGAGAGAUAUCAUGCUUUUGAUUGCUUUAGUUUUACAAAUACUUUUGUGAAACUCUAACAUCCACACUCAUGUUCAAUAACUUGACGAAUAAAUAAAUGGAACUAGAAACAAAAGGCUGCAGCAGGAGAGAUCAAACAACUUUUCUACUAACCUGCAUUCUUUGUCAAUCUGCAGGCAUGCUUCAUGCAUAUUGAUAUCUACGCGAUCCAUCAAACUUUCCUCCGUAACACG
This 428-nucleotide long non-coding RNA is filed under the name Trifolium pratense (red clover). RNAcentral's name for it is "long non-coding RNA (TPRA_LNC004143)". Lineage: Eukaryota; Viridiplantae; Streptophyta; Magnoliopsida; Fabales; Fabaceae. The record is from RNAcentral.